Molecule: ribosomal RNA, 482 nt
Filed under: uncultured bacterium
Lineage: Bacteria
Description: partial 16S ribosomal RNA
Rfam family: Bacterial small subunit ribosomal RNA
Source: RNAcentral
AUUGAACGCUGGCGGCAUGCCUUACACAUGCAAGUCGAACGGUAACGGGCCUUCGGGUGCCGACGAGUGGCGAACGGGUGAGUAAUACAUCGGAACGUGCCCGAUCGUGGGGGAUAACGAGGCGAAAGCUUUGCUAAUACCGCAUACGAUCUACGGAUGACAGCAGGGGACCGCAAGGCCUUGCGCGGACGGAGCGGCCGAUGGCAGAUUAGGUAGUUGGUGGGAUAAAAGCUUACCAAGCCGACGAUCUGUAGCUGGUCUGAGAGGAUGAUCAGCCACACUGGGACUGAGACACGGCCCAGACUCCUACGGGAGGCAGCAGUGGGGAAUUUUGGACAAUGGGCGCAAGCCUGAUCCAGCCAUGCCGCGUGCAGGAUGAAGGCCUUCGGGUUGCAAACUGCUUUUGUACGGAACGAAAAGCCUUCUUUUAAUACAGGAGGGUCAUGACGGUACCGUAAGAAUAAGCACCGGCUAACUACGUG